AUCCCUUCUCAGCCUUUUGACUAAACUCAGCGUCGUAUCUGUUCUUAUGAGUUAAUAUCUGAUAUGUCCUCUAUCCCAGGACAUUAUAUUAAAUGGAUUUUUGGAUCUGGAAGGUGGAAUAGGAGCUUGCUCCAUGCACUCUGUGUAUCAACCCAGUAUUGCAAUACUUCCAGGAACAGUGCAAAAAAA
Small nuclear RNA from Phyllostomus discolor (pale spear-nosed bat), 189 nucleotides. RefSeq annotates it as U2 spliceosomal RNA. The transcript has a single exon. The record is from RefSeq and is a predicted model, not a curated record. Lineage: Eukaryota; Metazoa; Chordata; Mammalia; Chiroptera; Phyllostomidae.